Molecule: transfer RNA, 71 nt
Filed under: Bacteriophage sp.
Description: tRNA-OTHER
Rfam family: tRNA
About the family: Transfer RNA (tRNA) molecules are approximately 80 nucleotides in length.
Source: RNAcentral
GCCGAUUUAGUUCAGUUGGUAGAACGGGCCGCGGGACGACCCAUGCGCUGGUUCAAGUCCAGCAAUCGGCA